This 253-nucleotide ribosomal RNA is filed under the name uncultured Eubacteriales bacterium. RNAcentral's name for it is "uncultured Clostridiales bacterium partial 16S ribosomal RNA". It matches the Rfam family "Bacterial small subunit ribosomal RNA", at positions 524 to 776 of the family's 1533-position model. Lineage: Bacteria; Bacillati; Bacillota; Clostridia; Eubacteriales. The record is from RNAcentral.
UACGUAGGGAGCAAGCGUUAUCCGGAAUUAUUGGGUGUAAAGGGUGCGUAGACGGGAUAACAAGUUAGUUGUGAAACCCCUCGGCUCAACUGAGGAACUGCAACUAAAACUAUUAUUCUUGAGUGCAGGAGAGGAAAGUGGAAUUCCUAGUGUAGCGGUGAAAUGCGUAGAUAUUAGGAAGAACACCGGUGGCGAAGGCGACUUUCUGGACUGUAACUGACGCUGAGGCUCGAAAGCAUGGGUAGCGAACAGG